CCAAUGACCAAAGUGGUAAAAUCCCAAAUUUCUACCUGAGGGCACCGCAGCUCGUCCAGCAAACAAAUCGUGUCGGCGCGCUGGGAGGAAGGGAGACGGGCGACGCGGCUGGGAAACCGGUGCGACGGGGGAGGAGGACCGCAGCGAGCACACCAGAGGGACGUGGAGGACUGCUUCCUGGCUGCGGCCAUCGGUCAACUCGGGCAGCAGCGUCGCCACGGACCAUAGGUGGGUCUUGCACCUGCUCCACGUGAUUGGAGACCAUGGAGACCGUGGAUGCAACGUCGGAAGCUUGGGUGUCUCAGCUGAUUCGGAGUCCUUAUCUCAGAACGCCCCCAAUAUGUUCGACAAAAUGCCAAACACAAACUGCACUCAAAUGAAAGAUUAUUUGGUUCGCAAAGUGGAAUCGCAGGGAUUCAGGACACCUCUAUCGACAGCUACUACUGUACUGCAGUUGUGUUGGCCCCGUGCUCUAUAAGUUCCAUCCUCUACAGUAUAAGCAACAUCCAACGUUGUCAUCUUGAGGAAUAAAGAAAUGCCUAGCCUUGCAUGGAUAUAGCACUGAAAUUUAUUUUCUCUGCAAAUAUUGGUGAAUGUGUCAAGUAAAGAACAAACAAUUCCUAACAGUUGCUAUUAUUUGUUCCAUUGAUGACAUGUAUCACAUCUUAAUAUUAUUUCAUAAAUGGAUGGCCAGAACAUGUUUGCAAGUAUUUAUAGGGUAAUUACUGUGCUCUCUAAGUUUCAAUGUAUGUAAUUCAUGGCAGAAAUAAAAACUCAUGUGAUUAUUAUACAAAUGUCAUCACCUAAAUUCUUUCCCUCUAAUGGAUUUUUCUUUUAUAUUAUCGGCUACAAGCACAAGCAUGGUCCUUUUAAGAACUAUAUAUUCUUGAUUUUAUAGGUACAUAAGAAACAUUAUUAAGAAAUUUC
This is a long non-coding RNA of Phragmites australis (common reed), 927 nucleotides long. RefSeq lists it as uncharacterized. The record is from RefSeq and is a predicted model, not a curated record. The transcript is spliced from 3 exons. Lineage: Eukaryota; Viridiplantae; Streptophyta; Magnoliopsida; Poales; Poaceae.